GAUGAACGCUGGCGGUGUGCCUAAUACAUGCAAGUCGAGCGGUAAGGCCCCCUUCGGGGGGUACACGAGCGGCGGACGGCUGAGUAACGCGUAGGAACCUACCCCAAAGUGAGGGAUAACUGCUCGAAAGAGUAGCUAAUACCGCAUGUGGUCUUCGGAUUAAACCUUCGGGGCGUUUGGGAAGGGCCUGCGUAUGAUUAGUCUUGUUGGUAAAGGUAAAAGACUUACCAAGGCGACGAUCAUUA
RNAcentral lists this ribosomal RNA (245 nucleotides) under uncultured bacterium. Its description in RNAcentral is "partial 16S ribosomal RNA". It matches the Rfam family "Bacterial small subunit ribosomal RNA", at positions 28 to 285 of the family's 1533-position model. The record is from RNAcentral.